This 64-nucleotide transfer RNA is filed under the name Xylosandrus crassiusculus. RNAcentral describes it as "tRNA-Glu". Lineage: Eukaryota; Metazoa; Arthropoda; Insecta; Coleoptera; Curculionidae. The record is from RNAcentral.
GCUUAAAUAGUUUAAAAAACAUAGUAUUUUCAUUGCUAAAUUGGAGAAUUUUUUCCUUUAAGUA